This 75-nucleotide transfer RNA is filed under the name Nanobdellota archaeon. RNAcentral's name for it is "tRNA-Asp". It matches the Rfam family "tRNA". Rfam says of the family: Transfer RNA (tRNA) molecules are approximately 80 nucleotides in length. Their secondary structure includes four short double-helical elements and three loops (D, anti-codon, and T loops). Further hydrogen bonds mediate the characteristic L-shaped molecular structure. tRNAs have two regions of fundamental functional importance: the anti-codon, which is responsible for specific mRNA codon recognition, and the 3' end, to which the tRNAs corresponding amino acid is attached (by aminoacyl-tRNA synthetases). tRNAs cope with the degeneracy of the genetic code in two manners: having more than one tRNA (with a specific anti-codon) for a particular amino acid; and 'wobble' base-pairing, i.e. permitting non-standard base-pairing at the 3rd anti-codon position. The record is from RNAcentral. RNAcentral also lists the same sequence under 2 other names. Lineage: Archaea; Nanobdellati; Nanobdellota.
GCCCUGGUAGUGUAGUUCGGCCUAGCAUGAAGCCCUGUCGAGGCUUCGACCCGGGUUCAAAUCCCGGCCAGGGCG